RNAcentral lists this ribosomal RNA (253 nucleotides) under uncultured bacterium. RNAcentral describes it as "partial 16S ribosomal RNA". It matches the Rfam family "Bacterial small subunit ribosomal RNA", at positions 524 to 776 of the family's 1533-position model. The record is from RNAcentral.
UACGGAGGGUGCAAGCGUUGUUCGGAAUCACUGGGCGUAAAGGGCGUGUAGGCGGUCCGCUAAGUCUGAUGUGAAAGCCCGGGGCUCACCCCCGGAAGGGCAUUGGAAACUGGCGGACUCGAGUCCCGGAGAGGAAGGUGGAAUUCCUGGUGUAGCGGUGGAAUGCGCAGAUAUCAGAUAGAACACCAAUGGCGAAGGCAGUUGCCUGGCUCAAAACUGACGCUAAAGCACGAAAGUGUGGGGAGCAAACAGG